This 435-nucleotide ribosomal RNA is filed under the name uncultured bacterium. Its description in RNAcentral is "partial 16S ribosomal RNA". It matches the Rfam family "Bacterial small subunit ribosomal RNA", at positions 29 to 507 of the family's 1533-position model. The record is from RNAcentral.
AGCGAACGCUGGCGGCAGGCUUAACACAUGCAAGUCGAGCGGGCACUUUCGGGUGUCAGCGGCGGACGGGUGAGUAACGCGAGGGAACGUGCCCUCUGGUUCGGAAUAACUCAGGGAAACUUGAGCUAAUACCGGAUACGCCCUUUUGGGGAAAGGCUUGCUGCCGGAGGAUCGGCCCGCGUCUGAUUAGCUAGUUGGUGAGGUAACGGCUCACCAAGGCGACGAUCAGUAGCUGGUCUGAGAGGAUGGUCAGCCACACUGGGACUGAGACACGGCCCAGACUCCUACGGGAGGCAGCAGUGGGGAAUAUUGGACAAUGGGCGCAAGCCUGAUCCAGCCAUGCCGCGUGAGUGAUGAGGGCCUUAGGGUUGUAAAGCUCUUUUAUCCGGGACGAUAAUGACGGUACCGGAGGAAUAAGCCCCGGCUAACUUCGUG